CAGUUCGGAUUGAAGGCUGAAAUUCGCCUUCAUGAAGCCGGAAUUGCUAGUAAUGGCAGGUCAGCAUACUGCCGUGAAUACGUUCCCGGGCCUUGUACACACCGCCCGUCACACCAUGAGAGUUGGGAAUACCCGAAGCCUGUGAGCUAACGUUAAGAGGCAGCAGUCGAAGGUAGAAUCAAUGAUUGGGGUGAAGUCGUAACAAGGUAGC
Molecule: ribosomal RNA, 211 nt
Filed under: uncultured bacterium
Lineage: Bacteria
Description: partial 16S ribosomal RNA
Rfam family: Bacterial small subunit ribosomal RNA
Source: RNAcentral